Molecule: ribosomal RNA, 453 nt
Filed under: uncultured bacterium
Lineage: Bacteria
Description: bacterial SSU rRNA
Rfam family: Bacterial small subunit ribosomal RNA
Source: RNAcentral
AGUAGUUUGAUCAUGGCUCAGAACGAACGCUGGCGGCAUGCCUAACACAUGCAAGUCGAACGAGACCUUCGGGUCUAGUGGCGCACGGGUGCGUAACGCGUGGGAACCUGCCUUUAGGUUCGGAAUAACUCAGAGAAAUUUGAGCUAACACCGGAUAAUGUCUUCGGACCAAAGAUUUAUCGCCUUUAGAUGGGCCCGCGUAAGAUUAGCUAGUUGGUGGGUAAAGGCCUACCAAGGCGACGAUCUUUAGCUGGUCUGAGAGGAUGAUCAGCCACACUGGGACUGAGACACGGCCCAGACUCCUACGGGAGGCAGCAGUGGGGAAUAUUGGACAAUGGGCGAAAGCCUGAUCCAGCAAUGCCGCGUGAGUGAUGAAGGCCUUAGGGUUGUAAAGCUCUUUUACCCGAGAUGAUAAUGACAGUAUCGGGAGAAUAAGCUCCGGCUAACUCCGUG